CCUACGGGUGGCUGCAGUGAGGAAUAUUGGUCAAUGGGCGCAAGCCUGAACCAGCCAAGUCGCGUGAGGGAAGACGGUCCUAUGGAUUGUCAACCUCUUUUGUCGGGGAGCAAAGCGCGGUACGAGUACCGCGAAGGAGAGUACCCGAAGAAAAAGCAUCGGCUAACUCCGGGCCAGCAGCCGCGGUAAAACGGAGGAUGCGAGCGUUCUCCGGAUUUUUGGGGUUGAAAGGGUGGGUAGGCGGAUUUGUAAGUCAGCGGUAAAAAUGCGGUGCUCAACGCCGUAUCGCCGUUGAAACUGCAGGUCUUGAGUGAGCGAGAAGUAUGCGGAAUGCGUGGUGUAGCGGUGAAAUGCAUAGAUAUCACGCAGAACUCCGAUUGCGAAGGCAGCAUACCGGCGCUCAACUGACGCUGAGGCACGAAAGCGUGGGGAUCGAACAGGAUUAGAUACCCUUGUAGUC
RNAcentral lists this ribosomal RNA (460 nucleotides) under uncultured bacterium. RNAcentral's name for it is "partial 16S ribosomal RNA". It matches the Rfam family "Bacterial small subunit ribosomal RNA", at positions 338 to 795 of the family's 1533-position model. The record is from RNAcentral.